CGCCUGAUCCAGCCAUNCCGCGUGAAGGACGACGGCCCUAUGGGUUGUAAACUGCUUUUGUACGGGNAUAAACCUACUCUCGUGGAGAGNNCNUGAAGGUACNGUACGAAUAAGNACCGGCUAACUCCGUGCCAGCAGCCGCGGGUAAUAU
This 151-nucleotide ribosomal RNA is filed under the name uncultured Bacteroidota bacterium. Its description in RNAcentral is "uncultured Bacteroidetes bacterium partial 16S ribosomal RNA". It matches the Rfam family "Bacterial small subunit ribosomal RNA", at positions 380 to 526 of the family's 1533-position model. The record is from RNAcentral. Lineage: Bacteria; Pseudomonadati; Bacteroidota.